This is a long non-coding RNA of Panthera uncia (snow leopard), 264 nucleotides long. RefSeq lists it as uncharacterized. The transcript has 2 exons. The record is from RefSeq and is a predicted model, not a curated record. NCBI's taxonomy places the organism in Eukaryota, Metazoa, Chordata, Mammalia, Carnivora, Felidae.
GAACUUAAAUUCCUGUAUGUGACAGCAAUAUCCUUAACCGGCAGUCUUUUGCACAGUUCAGGCUGAGAGAAGAGUAAUCAUCCCUUACUUGUGAAUGGGAAAACCGAAAUGCAAGAAUGAUUGACAGACGUGUCCAUAUUACCACGGUGAGAAAGGAUUGGAACACAGUUACUCUGCUCCCGGCCCAAUCUAUUCACUCAUUUACAUCCAAACACUGUAGCUUCUGGGGAUGAAGCAAUAAACAAGACAAACUUUCUGCUCUCA